Molecule: long non-coding RNA, 713 nt
Organism: Neogale vison (American mink)
Lineage: Eukaryota; Metazoa; Chordata; Mammalia; Carnivora; Mustelidae
Exons: 3
Source: RefSeq, a predicted model, not a curated record
CGCCGAGGAGCCCCGUGAUACAGUAUUUUAAAAUUCAGGCCCAGCUCCCGUGAACGCUGACAAACAGAGAGGACCAUAGGAGCAGGGUUCCAAGCCACGAGACAGUCCGCGCCACCAAGAACGCGCCGGAGAGAAAGCACACCGAUCCAGCGCCGUUAGACACCUCUGCACCCUGUUUUGUUACAAGAAGAAAUCCUCUGGCCAAAAAAGGCAUGAAAACUACAGACCCCAAGAUGAAAAAUGAGUUUUUCCCAAAUCAGUAAAUCCAAUCUUUCUGCGUGAACGUGUAAUGCUAAAGAAGCUUCUCGUGGGGGAUAGCGCGGAGACUAAGUGUGAGUAAGCAGAGCCCCCACUCUCUGUACACGCCCCUCACACACUCGGCGUCCGUGCGUCACGUUCUCACCAGUCAGGAGAACACCUUCCCGAGCACCCGCGUGUGGCUCUCUGCUCAGACUUCCUGCCCGGCCAGCUCCCGGCUCGAGAGCGGAUUCUCCACCCAGUGGACCAGAAACGCACAGGUUCGACGUGCCCCCACAUGGAGAACUGCACGCCCUGGACCGGCAGUCUCCCUGCCCCCCGCCCCACCAAGUCUACGGCUUUGGGAGACACAGAGCUUUCUGGCGGCAGCGGGAGAGACCUCGCCAAAGACACGCGUGUGUUAGAUCGGGACGUGCCGGGAGGUCCCGGGGACUCCUAGCAGAGGACGCAGGAGG